AGGUGGAUCUGGAGGUCGGAGCAGUUUCAGAGUCGGGGCUCAGGGGGACGAAAGCGAUGAGGGACAUGAAGAAGUACCAGGUGGCGGUCAAGCUGAAGAACUUCAUGGCUGUGCCUCUGGGGGAGUGGAACAAGAGCUCAGAGGUGCGCUUGAAGAAAACUGUCCCACUUCAUGCAACUCAGAGAGUACAAGCCUGACAUGAUUGAGUAUGCAUCGAUCUUCUUUCAUCGUGCAUGGUCAGCAGGAGGAGCCCUGACACAGAACGUCAGGACGCCAUGCUUAGUAACAGACAGAUUAGGAUUAAACAGCACCUCGCUCCUGUUGACAUGAUUCAACAAGGGCCCAGUCGUUCAAGUCAACAAAAGAUAGUGUCAUUGCUCUCAGACUUGACUUAGCAGCAACUCUGUGCAUGCUUUUCUGGCAUUCCAGCAUGCCGCAGAAUUCCGUGCAUACGAAGGCAACACGACACAGGGAAACACUGCUUAAGUUGGUGCUAUCUGAAUGACAUGAUUCUCAUGCAGGAGAACGCGCUGGUACUGCUGCAAAAGCGGUUCAGGAACCCGGAUUGGGACACAGUCAUGGGGACGUAC
RNAcentral lists this long non-coding RNA (590 nucleotides) under Coccomyxa subellipsoidea. RNAcentral describes it as "long non-coding RNA (CSUB_LNC000435)". Lineage: Eukaryota; Viridiplantae; Chlorophyta; Trebouxiophyceae; Coccomyxaceae. The record is from RNAcentral.